UGCAUACUUAGGCCCCACCUCCUUGCUCUAAGGUUCCAUGUUGUUGAAAUUGGACUCACAGCUGGAGGGUUGGAUGGCUUCCUGAUGUCCUCCACCCAGCUUGGCUUGGGGACACAAAGCAGGAGACUGGGGUAGAGUGGCCCUGUAACAGUGAACAGCAGCACCAGGAUCUUGGGACUCUUGAGAACAGCAAAUCCUCACCUAUGCUUUAUGGGACUUAAUUUGGAGGAAACACAGCUGGGUGCAUGGAGAUACUGGAGGCAGGAGGACCGUUGGGGAGGUCUCUGGGGUAUCCUGCUUCUGGGUCCUGACCCUCAGGGGAGAGCUCCCUCUCAGAGUAUAGGUCUCCAGCUGUGCCAGUCAUCAGCUGGCCACUCCCACUCUAAUGUAUAACAAAACACACAGGCUUUUCCCUGGCUUCCAGAC
RNAcentral lists this long non-coding RNA (426 nucleotides) under Cricetulus griseus (Chinese hamster). RNAcentral's name for it is "lncRNA (ENSCGRG00015031019.1)". Lineage: Eukaryota; Metazoa; Chordata; Mammalia; Rodentia; Cricetidae. The record is from RNAcentral.